RNAcentral lists this transfer RNA (51 nucleotides) under Arabis alpina (gray rockcress). RNAcentral describes it as "partial tRNA-Leu". Lineage: Eukaryota; Viridiplantae; Streptophyta; Magnoliopsida; Brassicales; Brassicaceae. RNAcentral also lists the same sequence under 5 other names. The record is from RNAcentral.
GAAAAUCCGUUGACUUUUAAAAUCGUGAGGGUUCAAGUCCCUCUAUCCCCA